UGGUCAAAACUCUCCCUUCCUUCACCCCUGAUCGAUCCACUUACCAUAUUUUACUCUCCCAGUCCUGCAGAACAAUUGCUCCCUCCCUUUCCGCUGUUCACCAGAUUCUCAAUCUGAUGGUCAACAACGGGUUUGAUCCUAACCAGGUUACCGUUGAUAUUGCAGUACGGUCUCUCUGCUCUGUUAGCCGAGAAGAUGAUGCUGUUGAAUUGGUAAAAGAAUUA
This 224-nucleotide unclassified non-coding RNA is filed under the name Hevea brasiliensis (rubber tree). Lineage: Eukaryota; Viridiplantae; Streptophyta; Magnoliopsida; Malpighiales; Euphorbiaceae. The record is from RNAcentral.